This 194-nucleotide unclassified non-coding RNA is filed under the name plant metagenome. RNAcentral describes it as "partial contains small subunit ribosomal RNA and internal transcribed spacer 1". The stretch from base 1 to 45 matches the Rfam family "Eukaryotic small subunit ribosomal RNA", at positions 1787 to 1831 of the family's 1831-position model. The record is from RNAcentral.
AGUCGUAACAAGGUUUCCGUAGGUGAACCUGCGGAAGGAUCAUUAUCGUAGGGCUUCGGCCCUGUCGAGAUAGAACCCUUGCCUUUAUGAGUACCGUCCGUUUCCUCGGCAGGCCGCCUGCCGAUGGACCCUAAAUCCAAACCCAUUUUCAUUACCUGUAUCAGUCUAAAAAUUUCAAAGCAAAAAUUUGAAAU